RNAcentral lists this ribosomal RNA (404 nucleotides) under uncultured bacterium. RNAcentral's name for it is "partial 16S ribosomal RNA". It matches the Rfam family "Bacterial small subunit ribosomal RNA", at positions 28 to 526 of the family's 1533-position model. The record is from RNAcentral.
GACGAACGCUGGCGGCGUGCCUAAUACAUGCAAGUCGAACGCAGUGGGGAAGGGUGAGUAACACGUGUGUAAACUCCCCAUCAGAGGGGAUAACACUUGGAAACAGGUGCUAAACCUAUCCUGAUCGCUGAACCCGCGGUGCAUUAGCUAGUUGGUGAGGUAACGGCUCACCAAGGCACCGAUGGAUAGCCGACCGGAGAGGGUGAUCGGCCACACUGGGACGGAGACACGGCCCAGACGCCUACGGGAGGCAGCAGUAGGGAAGCUUCGGCAAUGGACGAAAGUCUGACCGAGCAACGCCGCGUGAGUGAAGAAGGUUUUCGGAUCGUAAAACUCUGUUGUUAGAGAAGCGGUAUCUAACCAGAAAGCCACGGCUAACUACGUGCCAGCAGCCGCGGUAAUUC